AAUAGUUUUAUGUCACAUUAGUACUCUUAUCCUGAAUUUCAGGAUUUUAUCCAAAAAAAAAUUAAAUCCAAAUUAAAAUCCUAAAAUUCAGGAUAAGAAUACUGAUGUGGCAUAAAACUAUU
Gossypium arboreum is the source of this 122-nucleotide microRNA precursor. It matches the Rfam family "MIR7504 microRNA precursor family". Lineage: Eukaryota; Viridiplantae; Streptophyta; Magnoliopsida; Malvales; Malvaceae. The record is from Rfam.